Molecule: ribosomal RNA, 497 nt
Filed under: uncultured bacterium
Lineage: Bacteria
Description: partial 16S ribosomal RNA
Rfam family: Bacterial small subunit ribosomal RNA
Source: RNAcentral
GAUGAACGCUGGCGGCGUGCCUAAUACAUGCAAGUCGAGCGAACGGACGAGAAGCUUGCUUCUCUGAUGUUAGCGGCGGACGGGUGAGUAACACGUGGAUAACCCACCUAUAAGACUGGGAUAACUUCGGGAAACCGGAGCUAAUACCGGAUAAUAUUUUGAACCGCAUGGUUCAAAAGUGAAAGACGGUCUUGCUGUCACUUAUAGAUGGAUCCGCGCUGCAUUAGCUAGUUGGUAAGGUAACGGCUUACCAAGGCAACGAUGCAUAGCCGACCUGAGAGGGUGAUCGGCCACACUGGAACUGAGACACGGUCCAGACUCAUACGGGAGGCAGCAGUAGGGAAUCUUCCGCAAUGGGCGAAAGCCUGACGGAGCAACGCCGCGUGAGUGAUGAAGGUCUUCGGAUCGUAAAACUCUGUUAUUAGGGAAGAACAUAUGUGUAAGUAACUGUGCACAUCUUGACGGUACCUAAUCAGUAAGCCACGGCUAACUACGUG